This 212-nucleotide unclassified non-coding RNA is filed under the name plant metagenome. RNAcentral's name for it is "partial contains small subunit ribosomal RNA, internal transcribed spacer 1, and 5.8S ribosomal RNA". The record is from RNAcentral.
UCUCCGUUGGUGAACCAGCGGAGGGAUCAUUACAGGAUCGAAAGACUCCUAUAACCCCUGUGAACUUACUACAAAUACGUUGCUUCGGCGGGUGCCCCGGGUCUCCCGGGGCGUUCAGCCCGCCGGCAGCCUUCAAAUUCUGUUUCUUUGCGUUAGCAUCUCGAGUACACAAAAAUAAGUUAAAACUUUCAACAACGGAUCUCUUGGUUCUG